AACGAACGCUGGCGGCAGGCUUAACACAUGCAAGUCGAACGGAUCCUUCGGGAUUAGUGGCAGACGGGUGAGUAACGCGUGGGAACGUACCCUUUGCUACGGAAUAACUCAGGGAAACUUGAGCUAAUGCCGUAUGUGCCCUACGGGGGAAAGAUUUAUCGGCAAAGGAUCGGCCCGCGUUGGAUUAGCUAGUUGGUGGGGUAAUGGCCUACCAAGGCGACGAUCCAUAGCUGGUCUGAGAGGAUGAUCAGCCACACUGGGACUGAGACACGGCCCAGACUCCUACGGGAGGCAGCAGUGGGGAAUAUUGGACAAUGGGCGCAAGCCUGAUCCAGCCAUGCCGCGUGAGUGAUGAAGGUCUUAGGAUUGUAAAGCUCUUUCACCGGUGAAGAUAAUGACGGUAGCCGGAGAAGAAGCCCCGGCUAACUUCGUG
Molecule: ribosomal RNA, 433 nt
Filed under: uncultured bacterium
Lineage: Bacteria
Description: partial 16S ribosomal RNA
Rfam family: Bacterial small subunit ribosomal RNA
Source: RNAcentral